This is a non-coding RNA of Otolemur garnettii (small-eared galago), 273 nucleotides long. NCBI's taxonomy places the organism in Eukaryota, Metazoa, Chordata, Mammalia, Primates, Galagidae. The record is from Rfam.
GCCAGGCUUGCGGGCGGGUGCCUGUAGUCCCAGCGACUUCAGAGGCUGCUGCUGGAGGAUCGCUUGAGUCCAGGAGUUCUGGGCUGUAGUGCGCUAUGUCGACUGGGUGUCCGUACUAAGCUCGGCAUCACUAUGGUGACCUUCCGGAAGGUGUGAGCAGGCCCAGGUCGGAAACCGAGCAGGUCAAAACUCUAGGGCUGAUCAGUAGUGGGAUCGCGCCUGUGAACAGCCACUGCACUCCAGCCUGGGCAUCAUAGCAAGACCUCGUCUCUU